RNAcentral lists this ribosomal RNA (440 nucleotides) under uncultured bacterium. Its description in RNAcentral is "partial 16S ribosomal RNA". It matches the Rfam family "Bacterial small subunit ribosomal RNA", at positions 339 to 795 of the family's 1533-position model. The record is from RNAcentral.
CUACGGGCGGCAGCAGUGAGGAAUAUUGCACAAUGGGGGAAACCCUGAUGCAGCAACGCCGCGUGAAGGAUGAAGGUUUUCGGAUCGUAAACUUCUUUGAUGAGGGAAGAAAAAUGACGGUACCUCAAAAACAAGCCACGGCUAACUACGUGCCAGCAGCCGCGGUAAUACGUAGGUGGCGAGCGUUGUCCGGAAUUACUGGGUGUAAAGGGCGUGUAGGCGGGAAUGUAAGUCAGAUGUGAAAUUCCGAGGCUCAACCUCGGAGCUGCAUCUGAAACUAUAUUUCUUGAGUGCUGGAGAGGAAAGCGGAAUUCCUAGUGUAGCGGUGAAAUGCGUAGAUAUUAGGAGGAACACCAGUGGCGAAGGCGGCUUUCUGGACAGUAACUGACGCUGAGGCGCGAAAGCGUGGGGAGCAAACAGGAUUAGAUACCCCCGUAGUC